RNAcentral lists this ribosomal RNA (531 nucleotides) under Streptomyces sp. SID9913. RNAcentral describes it as "bacterial SSU rRNA". It matches the Rfam family "Bacterial small subunit ribosomal RNA", at positions 1 to 544 of the family's 1533-position model. Lineage: Bacteria; Bacillati; Actinomycetota; Actinomycetes; Kitasatosporales; Streptomycetaceae. The record is from RNAcentral.
CAUUCACGGAGAGUUUGAUCCUGGCUCAGGACGAACGCUGGCGGCGUGCUUAACACAUGCAAGUCGAACGAUGAACCACCUUCGGGUGGGGAUUAGUGGCGAACGGGUGAGUAACACGUGGGUAAUCUGCCCUGCACUCUGGGACAAGCCCUGGAAACGGGGUCUAAUACCGGAUACUGAACCGCUUGGGCAUCCAGGCGGUUCGAAAGCUCCGGCGGUGCAGGAUGAGCCCGCGGCCUAUCAGCUUGUUGGUGAGGUAACGGCUCACCAAGGCGACGACGGGUAGCCGGCCUGAGAGGGCGACCGGCCACACUGGGACUGAGACACGGCCCAGACUCCUACGGGAGGCAGCAGUGGGGAAUAUUGCACAAUGGGCGAAAGCCUGAUGCAGCGACGCCGCGUGAGGGAUGACGGCCUUCGGGUUGUAAACCUCUUUCAGCAGGGAAGAAGCGAAAGUGACGGUACCUGCAGAAGAAGCGCCGGCUAACUACGUGCCAGCAGCCGCGGUAAUACGUAGGGCGCGAGCGUUGU